GAUGACGUCAAAUCAUCAUGCCCCUUAUGAUUUGGGCUACACACGUGCUACAAUGGACAAUACAAAGGGCAGCGAAACCGCGAGGUCAAGCAAAUCCCAUAAAGUUGUUCUCAGUUCGGAUUGUAGUCUGCAACUCGACUACAUGAAGCUGGAAUCGCUAGUAAUCGUAGAUCAGCAUGCUACGGUGAAUACGUUCCCGGGUCUUGUACACACCGCCCGUCACACCACGAGAGUUUGUAACACCCGAAGCCGGUGGAGUAACCUUUUAGGAGCUAGCCGUCGAAGGUGGGACAAAUGAUUGGGGUGAAGUCGUAACAAGGUAGCCGUAUCGGAAGGUGCGGCUGGAUCACCUCCUUU
Molecule: ribosomal RNA, 357 nt
Filed under: Staphylococcus aureus
Lineage: Bacteria; Bacillati; Bacillota; Bacilli; Caryophanales; Staphylococcaceae
Description: bacterial SSU rRNA
Rfam family: Bacterial small subunit ribosomal RNA
Source: RNAcentral